GACGAACGCUGGCGGCGUGCUUAACACAUGCAAGUCGAACGGAAAGGCCCUGCUUUUGUGGGGUGCUCGAGUGGCGAACGGGUGAGUAACACGUGAGUAACCUGCCCUUGACUUUGGGAUAACUUCAGGAAACUGGGGCUAAUACCGGAUAGGAGCUCCUGCUGCAUGGUGGGGGUUGGAAAGUUUCGGCGGUUGGGGAUGGACUCGCGGCUUAUCAGCUUGUUGGUGGGGUAGUGGCUUACCAAGGCUUUGACGGGUAGCCGGCCUGAGAGGGUGACCGGCCACAUUGGGACUGGGAGACGGCCCAGACUCCUACGGGAGGCAGGAGGGGGGAAUAUUGCACAAUGGGCGGAAGCCUGAUGCAGCAACGCCGCGUGCGGGAUGACGGCCUUCGGGUGGUAAACCGCUUUCGCCUGUGACGAAGCGUGAGUGACGGUAAUGGGUAAAGAAGCACCGGAUAACUACGU
RNAcentral lists this ribosomal RNA (467 nucleotides) under uncultured bacterium. Its description in RNAcentral is "partial 16S ribosomal RNA". It matches the Rfam family "Bacterial small subunit ribosomal RNA", at positions 28 to 506 of the family's 1533-position model. The record is from RNAcentral.